Molecule: long non-coding RNA, 2616 nt
Organism: Homo sapiens (human)
Lineage: Eukaryota; Metazoa; Chordata; Mammalia; Primates; Hominidae
Gene: MPPED2-AS1
Product: MPPED2 antisense RNA 1
Source: Ensembl
GAACUUGUCUCCAGCACUGCGGACACCCGGGUGACACAUUCUUUCGGAGAGGGAGGGCAAGACUUUUCUCCGGAGCCUCUGGCAACUCGUGGAGUCUAUAUAAGAUCUUCAAAGAAAGAGAUAUCCUUUCGAGGCAACACAAGAAGCCAACUACAAAUGAGAAUAUUAUUCUCUUGGUGCAGGGAUUGUUGCAUGUGGACCCCAUCAGCCUUGAAAAGUCCAUGCAAUGGAGUGAAACUUGACAAAGCAGUUGCAGUCGUUCACCAGUGAAGCAAAGUCUUCUUCCUAGUCACGCAGGAAUUUUUUUGGGGGAGAUAACUUGAUGCCUGGAGCUGCUGCUGCAUCUUAUGUAAAUGACAACUAAGGAUAAAAACCACACACAUUACCCAAGGUGCAGUAAAAGAAGAUAUUUUGGGAGGAAGAGAGAAAGCAAGAGAGAGAAACCACAUUUUCAUAACUUUUGUUACAGUAUAUUGUUAUAAUUGGUCUAUUUUUAUUAUUAUUGUUGUUCAUAUUUUACUUUAAUUUAUAAAUUAAACUUCAUUAUAGGUAUGUACAGGAAAAAAUAUGGUAUUAUAUAUGAUUUGGUACUAUCCUUGGUUUCAGGCAUCCACUGAGGGUCUUGGAACAUAUCACCUUGGAUAGGGGAGACUACUGACUUCCUUACUGCUCUAUGUGACAAAUGAAGUUUGGUCUUAUUUGCAGCCAGGAAAAUUUUAUUAUCAAGACUUUAAUAUUAAUACAGAAAUAGGAACUUCCAGGGAUAGACAAAAAUGAAGAGAGCAUCUGUUCCAGCUUCUUUAUUUUAAAGAUUUGAGGCUCAGAGAGGAGAUAUACUUCUUCAAAAUCAACAGCCUAUUAGUUCACAACUGCGAUUACAAUUUCGUCUCCUGGCUCUGGGUUUAAUAAUAUUCCCCCACAUCAUAAAACCUUGGAACUAUCGAAAUGAUAGCUUUGAGGGGAAAAAUAGGCAAAGAAGUAAUAUGUUAAACUUUCCCUGGGAUGCAGGCUUUAAUCAGGUUUCAAAUUCUUCCAACAUAAUAUAAUUUAAUGGUGAGAGCUCUUGACAUUAAGAGGUGAAAUUUAUAUUUAAAAGGCUAAGAUCGUGACAUAUUAAAGCACUUCAAAAAUGUUGGCAACAAAUACCAAGAGUAACUGAUGGUUGUUAUUAUACAAGAACAAAGAAGUUCAUCCUCUGGAAUUAAAGGUGUGUUAGUGUCAUUGUUGCUCAUGGGGAGGAGUAGGCACCUGACUUUCUUUUUUUCCUUACGACAGCUUUAUCCAAAUAAAGCACGGUGUGUUUCAUCACCCAUAAUGGAAAGUGCCUGUCACUCCUUGAACAACAUCAUAUGGUUGGUGGCCGGUGGAUAAUGGACCACUGAGUGUCAAGGUGACUGGCUUUCAAUGCACACAAAACUAAAAAUUAUAGACCUGUCAUUCCACAGGCAGGCCACAAUUAGCUGUCUAUGCAACUUGAAAUUUCCAUUUUGCCAGCUGAGUAAUCAUUUGACUAGAGUUUUUCAUUUGGAAGCAUUUCUAAGCCUUUUGUGUGCAAGUCUUUUAAAAUGUGGAUCCUGAAGUAAAUAAACAGUGCACUUAAUCAGAUGUAUUCUUUUUAGAAACACCCCUUCGGAAACACACAGGCAAACCCCAACAUUGUUGUAAUAGUAACAACAAUAAUGUGACAAAACAAUAUAAGCCUUGGGUAUUUUAUUUAGGGAUCUUAAAAGUUCACAGCGAAAGGUAAGAAUCAUUUCUUAAUACCUCAGAGUGCAGAAUUUAGAAAAAGAAACUGAGAUUUUAGCAGUCAGUAACUAGAUAAGGUCACCAAAGGAGAAGUAAACUCAGAGCUAGGGGUCAAAACUUGGGAAUUUCAGUGUCAGAAACAUUCACUGAUUCAAAACUAUCCAUUUACCAGUUUUCUAUUUACAUUUGGUUUCCAACUCCAUAUCUGAGUUCUGUCAUUUCUCUGAUUCUUUGAGGGAUAGAGAAAAUGAUACCAAGUGGAGUCUGUUGGAAAAUUGUGUUGUAAUUUCCAUUCAGUUGCUGUACGUGAAGUAAACUUCAGGAUUCUACAAUCCCAGAUCAGAUUCUAGACUGUCUAAUUGAACCUGAAUCUUCUUUUACCCUCUUCCUGCCCUGUCCCUGGUCCACAUUACUCUCUCUCCUUCUCCCUCGGAUGAUUUAUAUCUACACUUAAAUUGCCGAGCCACAAGGAUACAAGUGAAGUUGACAAUCAAUAUGAAUUAAGGAAAAAAUCAGAAGUCUGAGAUCAGAAGUGUUUGAGUGAAAUUCUCCCUACAAGUCUUGGCAACCUCAUGAUUUUGUUUAAUUUUCCAACAUGUUUUGGAUUAUUGGAAAGAGUUACAUGGGAUAAAAAGGAUUUGCCUGGCAGAGUAAAAGAACUGAAUUUGGAUUGUACUGAAGUAGGUCCUAACUAGGCUGUUGAUGGUGAAAUAUUGACGAUUCUAUUGUUUUGAAUGAAUGAGUGUCAUAUUUUACUGGGAAUUGAUUUCUGAACUUCAGUCAAGGAGUGACUGAAUUUGCAAUUAGAGUCACUCUGUUUUGUAACUCAGAUUAUGCAAGGAUCAUUCUGAAACAGCAACCAAGAUAUAA